CCACCGCAACAACAACAAAUUACUACAGCCCAUGGCUAUAUGUGUGUGCGUGUGUGUGUGUGUGAACGUAUUUGUGUUAAAUAAUGUUUAAACAUUUCUGAUUUCGCACACAAAACAAUUUUGAGUUGUAUUCACCAGCAGAGAGAAACAAUUAAAGAAAAGGAAGAAGAGCCAACAAUUAUUAUUAAAAUCGCCUCAAAUACAAGCAAUAAUAAAUAAUAUAUUAAAGAAAAACGCGAAAGUAAAAAGUUCAACAUUUAGUAAAUGAAUACAAAUUAUUAAUACACUUGCAUUAAUGAAAUCGUAGCCAUUAGCUUUAACAAACGCGUAAACAUUUUGAACAGAACUUAGCAAGCCUAACAAGUACGCCUUCCAAUAGUUAUUAUAUAUACACGCAUUAUAUACAUAUGCAUAUACAUAGCCAUAGCACUUACAACAUACAUACAUAUAUAUACAAGAACCGGUCAAAGGGAAUUAAAAGCCCAAACGGGAAACGAAAGAACGAUCGAGAAUCGUGGAAAAAGUGCGUUAUAUUCUAACGGUGCAAUCAAAUCUUAAUGUAGCCAAGCGAUAUUACAGCUACGCCAACAUAUAUACCAUAUAAAUAUAUAUAUAUAUAUAUAUUUCUUACAUCCAUCAAAAAAGCCAACAAUUUUUACAAUCCGCAAAGUUAAGCAGCUUCAGAAUCAACAAACGCAGUUACUUUAAGAGAAUUACUUUAUCGGUUAAUAGACAAGCAUAUAUAUUGAAUGAUAAGCGAAUAGCAAAGGAAAAAUUAAAAAAAAAAAAAGAAAACAAAAAAGUCAAGUGCAAAU
Molecule: long non-coding RNA, 815 nt
Organism: Drosophila eugracilis
Lineage: Eukaryota; Metazoa; Arthropoda; Insecta; Diptera; Drosophilidae
Exons: 2
Source: RefSeq, a predicted model, not a curated record